RNAcentral lists this ribosomal RNA (466 nucleotides) under uncultured Syntrophomonas sp. RNAcentral describes it as "bacterial SSU rRNA". It matches the Rfam family "Bacterial small subunit ribosomal RNA", at positions 338 to 795 of the family's 1533-position model. Lineage: Bacteria; Bacillati; Bacillota; Clostridia; Eubacteriales; Syntrophomonadaceae. The record is from RNAcentral.
CCUACGGGAGGCUGCAGUGGGGAAUAUUGCGCAAUGGGGGAAACCCUGACGCAGCGACGCCGCGUGAGCGAAGAAGGCCUUAGGGUUGUAAAGCUCUGUUUUAGGGGACGAAUGUUACGGGGAGUAAUAUGCCCUGUAAAUGACGGUACCCUAAGAGGAAGCCCCGGCUAACUACGUGCCAGCAGCCGCGGUAAGACGUAGGGGGCGAGCGUUGUCCGGAAUUACUGGGCGUAAAGAGCACGUAGGCGGGAACUUAAGUCAGGUGUGAAAGACCGAGGCUCAACCUCGGGUAUGCACUUGAAACUGGGUUUCUUGAGGGCAGGAGAGGAAAGCAGAAUUCCUGGUGUAGCGGUGAAAUGCGUAGAAAUCAGGAGGAAUACCAGUGGCGAAGGCGGCUUUCUGGACUGACCCUGACGCUGAGGUGCGAAAGCGUGGGUAGCAAACAGGAUUAGAUACCCGAGUAGUC